This 568-nucleotide long non-coding RNA is filed under the name Nicotiana benthamiana. Its description in RNAcentral is "long non-coding RNA (NBEN_LNC031847)". Lineage: Eukaryota; Viridiplantae; Streptophyta; Magnoliopsida; Solanales; Solanaceae. The record is from RNAcentral.
UGAGAUGUGAGAUGCCAUGUGAGGCAAGAAAAGAGCGUAAGGCUAGGAAUUCACCCCCAUUAUCAGUAUACAGAGUAAUGAUAUUAGUAGAGAAGUAUUUUUCGACAAUGGACUUAAAAGUGGGGAAGGUUUGUAAGACAUCAGAUUUAAGGCGUAAAGGGAAAAACCAAACGUACUUAGAAAAAUGAUCAACAAAAAUGACAUAAUAUUUAAAUCCUUCAUUAGAAAUAAUUGGAGAGGUCCAUANNNNNNNNNNNNNNNNNNNUAAUAUUUAAAUCCUUCAUUAGAAAUAAUUGGGGAGGUCCAUACAUCAGAAAAAAUAAGCUCCAGCGGAGUAGUAGAAGAUAAACUUGACUCAGAGAAAGGUAACUUAUGACACUUAUGAAGCUUGCAAGAGACACAAACAAAAUCAGACACACUACUGGACGUUAUACUGCUAGAAGACACCAAAUGAUGUAGGAUUUUUGCUGACGGAUGACCAAACUGAGAAUGCCAUAAUGACGCAGGGAGCUUUUGUGCCGUGAGGGCGGAUGGGAGACAAGAAGCCACCGGCCAGUAGUAGGCGUCG